UACGGAGGGGACGAGCGUUGUCCGAAGUUACUGGGCGUAAAGCGCACGUAGGCGGACUACUAAGUCAGGGGUGAAAUCCCGGGGCUCAACCCCGGAACUGCCUUUGAUACUGAUAGUCUCGAGUCCGGAAGAGGUGAGUGGAAUUCCGAGUGUAGAGGUGAAAUUCGUAGAUAUUCGGAGGAACACCAGUGGCGAAGGCGGCUCACUGGUCCGGUACUGACGCUGAGGUGCGAAAGCGUGGGGAGCAAACAGG
This 253-nucleotide ribosomal RNA is filed under the name uncultured bacterium. RNAcentral describes it as "partial 16S ribosomal RNA". It matches the Rfam family "Bacterial small subunit ribosomal RNA", at positions 524 to 776 of the family's 1533-position model. The record is from RNAcentral.